This 1089-nucleotide ribosomal RNA is filed under the name Bacteroidia bacterium. RNAcentral's name for it is "bacterial SSU rRNA". It matches the Rfam family "Bacterial small subunit ribosomal RNA", at positions 325 to 1460 of the family's 1533-position model. Lineage: Bacteria; Pseudomonadati; Bacteroidota; Bacteroidia. The record is from RNAcentral.
CACGGUCCAGACUCCUACGGGAGGCAGCAGUGAGGAAUCUUCCACAAUGGGGGCAACCCUGAUGGAGCAACGCCGCGUGCAGGAUGAAGGCCUUCGGGUUGUAAACUGCUUUUAUAAGUGAGGAAUAUGACGGUAACUUAUGAAUAAGGAUCGGCUAACUACGUGCCAGCAGCCGCGGUCAUACGUAGGAUCCGAGCGUUAUCCGGAGUGACUGGGCGUAAAGAGUUGCGUAGGCGGUUAGUAAAGCGAAUAGUGAAAUUUGGUGGCUCAACCAUCAACCCAUUGUUCGAACUCACUAACUCGAGAGUGGUAGAGGUAACUGGAAUUUCUUGUGUAGGAGUGAAAUCCGUAGAUAUAAGAAGGAACACCAAUGGCGUAGGCAGGUUACUGGACCAUUUCUGACGCUAAGGCACGAAAGCGUGGGGAGCGAACCGGAUUAGAUACCCGGGUAGUCCACGCCGUAAACGAUGGAUACUAGCUGUAGGGGGUAUCGACCCCCUCUGUAGCGAAGCUAACGCGUUAAGUAUCCCGCCUGUGGAGUACGGCCGCAAGGCUAAAACAUAAAGGAAUUGACGGGGACCCGCACAAGCGGUGGAUCGUGUUCUUUAAUUCGAUGAUAAACGGAGAACCUUACCAGGGCUUGACAUCUAGGGAAUUUCUACGAAAGUAGUUAGUGCCUUUUGGAACCCUAUGACAGGUGAUGCAUGGCCGUCGUCAGCUCGUGUCGUGAGAUGUUUGGUUAAGUCCAUCAACGAGCGCAACCCUUAUGAAUAGUUGGAUUUUUCUAUUCAGACUGCCCCGGUAACGGGGAGGAAGGAGGGGAUGAUGUCAGGUCAGUAUUUCCCUUACGUCCUGGGCUAGAAACACGAUACAAUGGCUAGUACAAUGCGCAGCAAAGCCGCGAGGUGGAGCAAAUCGCAUCAAAGCUAGUCCCAGUUCGGAUUGGAGGCUGAAACUCGCCUCCAUGAAGUCGGAAUCGCUAGUAAUCGCAAAUCAGCAAGUUGCGGUGAAUACGUUCCCGGGUCUUGUACACACCGCCCGUCAAACCAUGAAAGUGACCAACACCCGAAGUCCGAUUCGUCGGCCUAA